AAAAAAAAAGACGGCGUCAACUUCCCAAGGCUUUUCAGCGUCAAGAAAGAGGAGUUUGAAGGGGUAAGUCUAGACUUGUACAACGUAUUACAAGUUGCGAAAAAGUGCAGUAUCUUGGCGGUUGAUGUUUUAGUCUUGACGUAGUUAAAUCAUGAUUACAAGCUCAUUGCAUUCAAGUUUGAAAAUGGGAGGACAUUCAUGUGCAAUUUUUUUUUUACCUUCAAAACUCAUAUUUACCAUUAUUCCGAAAGGACGUUAAGACAGCAUUAGCAGCACAGAUAAAUUACAUCUUUAUUGUGUCUGUUACCCUUUUGUGCUAAAUAUUUCUGCAAUACAUAUAGGAUUUACGCUGCAGAUUACGGACACUGAAGACUAAGCAGAAAGCUCAAGUCUGGGUGGCCAAAAGUUACAUUUCAGUGAUCUGGUUACCGCCUCUCUCUGCAAACCCAAAGGAUCACUUUCCUCAGCGGAUCUACCCCAAUCAUCAUUAACGGGACCCCAGUGGAGAGAGUGAGCAGCUUCAAUACCUUCAAAUGCCCUGCAAAGAGUAGCUGAGCGCAUCUCCAGAACAUCUCUCCCCUCUCUGCAAGACAUCCACACCAGAAGAUGUAAAUCUAGGACUGUUAAGAUCCUUAAAGACCCCACCCACCAUGGAAAUCCACUGUUUCAUCUGCUACAGUCAGGCAGACCCUUCUGCAGUCUGAUGGCAAAGACGGAGAGGCUCAGGAGGAGUUUCUUCCCUCAUGUUAUCAGACUACUAAACAUGGACAUUAAACACACUGCACUUUAUAGACUGGUUGUUUAGGGCUACCCAAUAACUCUCUGCACACUGCGCUUUUUUGACAACCUAACUAGGCAUUUCAUCCUCACUGCACAUUGUUUACAUCUCUGCACAUCAUCUGUGUAGCAGUUUCUGUGUAGCAUCUCUACAAAUCAUCUGUGUAGAAGUUUAAUACAGUAUAUUGUGUAUAUUUCAUUAUUUGUAUUUAAUUAUCUCCAAAAAAAAAAAAAACUUUAUUUUUUUCCUGUUGUUUCAUUAUUUGUAUUUAAUUUUCUCUUAUUUUUUAUUUUUUUGCACAGUCUAAAAAAAGUAUGCCAGACCUACUUUUCACUGCUUUUUGCAUGUCAUAUAACAAAUAAAACUUGAAUUUUUAAUGGUUUGGAGCGUUACCUGUGAUUGAGUUGGUGAUAAAAAGGAGAUGGGGAAAUGAGUGUCUUAAAUUGGACUUUGGUACCAAUAUUAUUUUCCUCUUAAGUCUUGGAAUGUUUUUUUAUUAUUAUUAUUAACUCUUGUAUUACUAUUUAGAUUUUUUUUUCUUUUUUUUAAAUUAAAUGUUUAUUUGUAAAAUGUAGCCUACUUCCACGUGUGGCCUUUUGUAAUGUUGUUUCACCUAGAGCCAAGGGGGUUGUAACAAUCUAAACAAUAUAAUUCUCCCUCAGAUUUCAAACUUGCAAUAAAGAAAAACAUUCACAUACAGUAAACAUUUUAUUGCUCUAAAUUACUCAUUCAUUUUCUUGAUACUGAUAUAAUUAUAAAAUUAAUAUAAUUUAAUAUACUUGAAUGUUUGCAGUUGUCACAAAAUUAUAUAACCUCUUGUUAAUUAAAUUUAAACUACAAUGAAAAACAAUAAAUCUGUUUUUCAUUAGUAUCGCUACUUUAAGCCAUCCUCAUUCGCGCGCACCCCGACAAUGACGCAAUGUGAAAUUUCCGUUUAAAUCCCGCCCAUUUGUAAAAGUCCCGCCCACUAGCGGCAAAAGUUCCUCCCACUUGGAGCUCUCCGUGAAGUCCAGCCCACUUGCGGCAAAAGCUCCUCCCACUUGGAGGUCUCCGGGCUGCAGCGAUACCU
Carassius gibelio (silver crucian carp) is the source of this 1847-nucleotide long non-coding RNA. RefSeq lists it as uncharacterized. The record is from RefSeq and is a predicted model, not a curated record. The transcript has 3 exons. NCBI's taxonomy places the organism in Eukaryota, Metazoa, Chordata, Actinopteri, Cypriniformes, Cyprinidae.